GGCCGCGGCUCCGGUAGAUUAGGGCCAGCAGGGCACGUGGCUUGGGACCGUGUGGAGAGUGCGGGCGCUGGACAGCAGCUCCGGCCCCUCACCGACGCGCAGCCCGCGCCUGGGCCGACCUGUUGACUGAAAAUCAGCCGGCGCUUGGCCAGAUGCGUCGAUGGAGGCCCGCAGCCCAGCGACGACGUGGUAGUCAUGGCUGAAGCGGCGCCUGCCCCGCCAAAUGCAGAGAAGAGCUCAUACCUCUAUUCCAUAGAAAUCACACUGUGGACCGUGGUGCCUGCUGUUCAGGCCUUGGAGAAGAAAAGUGGAUUCUUGCCUGGCCCGCUUGCUGACUCUGGAGGGAUGCUCAGGGACAGCAGAGAAGAAGCUGGCUGACUGUGAGAAGACAGCUGUGGAGUUCAGCAGCCAGCUGGAGGGCAAGUUGGCCGUGCUGGGGACCCUGCCUCAGGAGUCUAGGCUGCUGCAUGAAGAACCUCAUGGGCAACUGGAACUUCUGGGUCCAGCGGCUUCCCCCUGGCAACAAGGGGGAGGUCCCCAAGGUAUUUCUCUGAGUCCAGAGCAGGCCCCAAGUCCAGCUAGCCCUGCCCAGGAGGAACUGAAUCAAAGGCAGACACCUGAGCAGCAGCAAGAGGAAGCAACCAUGAUUCCACCUGAGCCAGGCACUGGGAUUCCAGCAAGCACCAGCCCUUUAUCACUUAAACAGGAGGAAGAAUCUGCAGAGGGAGGAGAGUUGCCACCCUCCCCUUCCACAGAUAGCCUGCUUUCUGUGGAGCCAGCUCAGCUUCCAGGAAUGAGGCAUAAGACAGCAAGCAAAGUUGAACAAUACAUGAGACACUCCUGCCCCGUGGUGUCUAUGACUAGGACCCCUGGCCUGAUCUAAUGGCACUCACAAAGACUGGGGAAGGGAGGGGAGGCCUGAACCUGGAGUAAGGCCUGGAUCGAAUGGCAGGGGAAGCCAUGAGGUCCCCUUGGAACCAGCAAUGAUUCCUAUGACCAUCAAGACAGAAGCCCCAUCUGAGGAUCAACCUGAGCAGAACCUUCUGCAGUCCUGCAGCCAGUCCGUAUUUAGAGUCCACAGAAGGACCAGGAUUAAGACCAGGGGCCACAGAUGGCAUCACACGGAUUGGGGAACCUCAGGCAGCAGAGGAUAUGGGAGAGCCACCCUGUAUCCUUCCUCAGCCACAGAAGCAGGCAUUCCUGUGCCCUGACUGUGGGCAGAGCUUCUGCUUGAAGAUUAAUCUGACAAUCCAUUAGCAGACCCAUGUAGAAAAGAAACACAAGGAGGCUUGGAGUGGCUUGCCUAUUAGGUCAGGGAAAAGCCACUCCACACUGGAACCAGAGAAAGUGGUGGUGCCAGGCCCUGUCAUCCACUGGCCACCUGAGGAGCCCACAAGCCACCGGUCUCCAACAAGCCAUGCCUUCAUGAGACAAAGGCCAGCAACUACAGUUUACCACUGUAGUGAAUGUCUUCACUCCUUUCAGCAACAGAAGAGCCUGGUAUUACACCAGCAUCAGCACACAGGCAAGAGGCAGAGCUGGCCUGCCUGUCCCUACUGUGGCAAGGCCUCCCGCCGGCCCUCAGACCUCUUUUGUCACCAGUGUAUCCAUACUGGUGAGCGUUCCUAUCAGUGCCCCCAGUGUGGCAAGGAGCCACCACCUGGCUGUCCACAUGCAGACUCAUUCCUGAGGCUAAACAAUCCUGCAUUUCCUCUUGCUUUCUGUCCUCCAGGGAAGUCCAGCCCUGCAAGGGCCCAGCUCUGAACAGGACAGGACCUGCACUGUCUCAGGGCCUUUCCCUUGUGCCUGCCAAGUGGUGGAAGUUCCUUCACUUUCCAGCUGAGUUGGUACUUUAGGGGCCCUUCAAAAGCACAAGCUCCAGACCAGGAAUUUGAGGUGAUAGUGUCAUGCCUCAAAGUCAUGAGAGCGGGUGCUUCAUGUGCCUCUUUGUCACAGCACCUUGGGGACAGCCUUGUGGAGCUUCUGGAGCUGGGUGAUGGAUUCCAAUUCUGAUAGUUUGCUCUCUUGUUUGGCACUCAGACACCAGAGCACAUGAAGGCUCCCAGGUGCCUUCAUCCCUGGCUGUGCUAUUGCUAAAGUCCUGCAGACUCUGUAGCCACUCAGAAGUCCUGCACAGACGAGGCAGAGGGUGACACUGCCGUCAUUCCCAGGGUAGGGGUAUGACUGGCAAGACUGUGGCAUGCAGCCAUGGUUCUGGACGUUACUUGCCUGCACACCCAACCGUUGUUUAGGCCCUGCAAGCAAGACAGCAGUUGUCAGUAAGCGCUCAGACUGAACGUGGACAGUAUAGCUGCCCCAAACUUAAUCCUCCGCUGCAAGCACUCAUGUUGCUGUUCUGGGGGUUCCUAGGCCUCUCUUCUAAUGCUUUAGAUGUUCUCUGGAAAACAAGUAUUCAUAUUUGAAGCACAAAUCCAAGUGCUGGGGUGGGGGAAGAGGCGCUGUAUAAUCCUGGCUCGCCUUGGGCUUGCAGUGAAUUUUUUUCCCCUACCUCUAUCUACCUACUAGGAUUUCCUUGCUUGUGCCAUUAUGCACAACUGGGCUUACUGCAUUUAACCUGAAAUUCAAUAGGACAGGUUAAAGAGUAUUUUGAGUUAAGAAUGAACAAAGGCUGCAUGGUUGCCUGAGCUCAAAGACGUUGGAUCCCAGAUUCUGAUGACUUAUUUUGUAAAACAAAGAUAUGGUUGGGUUGGUUACAAGGCCCUAAGAACCAUGGAGGUGGAAAUAUUAACUUAAUCGGUGCUCUAUAAAUACACUGGAAAAUG
This 2783-nucleotide long non-coding RNA is filed under the name Mus musculus (house mouse). Its description in RNAcentral is "zinc finger protein 783". The record is from RNAcentral. Lineage: Eukaryota; Metazoa; Chordata; Mammalia; Rodentia; Muridae.